AUUGAACGCUGGCGGCAUGCUUUACACAUGCAAGUCGAACGGCAACGAGGAGAAGCUUGCUUCUCUGUCGGCGAGUGGCGAACGGGUGAGUAUAGCAUCGGAACGUGCCAAGUAGUGGGGGAUAACCAAACGAAAGUUUGGCUAAUACCGCGUAAGCUCCAAGGAGGAAAGUAGGGGACCUAAAUAAGGCCUUACGCUAUUUGAUCGGCCGAUGUCGGAUUAGCUAGUUGGUGGGGUAAUGGCUCACCAAGGCAAUGAUCCGUAGCGGGUCUGAGAGGACGAUCCGCCACACUGGGACUGAGACACGGCCCAGGCUCCUACGGGAGGCAGCAGUGGGGAAUUUUGGACAAUGGGGGAAACCCUGAUCCAGCCAUGCCGCGUGUAUGAAGAAGGCCUUAGGGUUGUAAAGUACUUUUGUUAGGGAAGAAAAGCUAGUUUUUAAUAAAAAUUAGUGAUGACGGUACCUAAAGAAUAAGCACCGGCUAACUACGUG
Molecule: ribosomal RNA, 493 nt
Filed under: uncultured bacterium
Lineage: Bacteria
Description: partial 16S ribosomal RNA
Rfam family: Bacterial small subunit ribosomal RNA
Source: RNAcentral